AAUCGUGCGAACCAGGGGACUGAAUAGCCUACCCAGUCUAGCUGCCACGAUCCCUAUCCUCUACAUCUCCUCCCUUGACCGAUCCAGGGGAGAUACCGCCGCCCUCGCGUGUGAUCUCCGCGGAGGCCAGCGCCGUGUUCGGCGUCAUGGACGCAGGCUCAGCCACCUGCACGCGGCCACUGACGCACCCAAUGCGGCGCUACCGCCGACCACCCGCUCAUGCCGCCGUGGUCAGCCGCACCGUCAUGCCCAUCUCGAUCACGCCCUUCUCCCCUCCUCUCUCCCUACUCACGAGCAGUCUUAUCGAGGCAACCCGACGCCGACCAGCCGGCCACGGACAGUGGCAGCGUUCGUCCCUGAGUCUCAAGGUAUGCCGUACAGAGGGGAUCAAGCUGUAUAUUGCUAUGUGGAAUGCUUUGAUUCAAUGGUGUUGUCGGGUUGGGAGCAUGAAACAUGCUCUGUAGUUCUUUGGUUCAAUGCAGGAGGAAGGGAUGUACGUAGACCUGAAGAUUUUAUUAAGAUCAUCCACGGGCUGGGGAAGCAAGGGGAGUGAGAUUAAAUCAAGAUUUUUUUUGACAAAAUGAGGAUUCAAUGGCUCAACGAGAGUAAGCCCCAAGCUAGAUCAUUGUUGUUUUCCUUUAGUAGGAUGUCACAUAAUUCAUUUAGAGUGGAGCAGGAACAUUCAGAAAGGAAAUGUACAUCAUAUAUAUUAGUAUAAUACAUCUGACACUUUCUCGACUUUCACUAAUAGCACAUUGAUCAUAGCAUUUGUAUAGCUCAUUCCGGUGUAAGUCGGGCCAAUUUAGAAAAUAUUUCAAAGGUUAUAGAAGUCAGAGUCAAACAGUACAAUAAGAGAUUUAUUCGUGCAUAAUUUCUAAUUCGUUUGUCUUCUAAGGAUAAAUGGGACUGCUAUCUAGACUGUACCUUAAAAACUAUUAGACCCUGCUUAUAACUAUUUUUCAUCUUGGUGUGGUUUAUAAGGGAGGCCAUGCCAUUAGUUUUUGUUAUCACAGGCCGUGAUGACCCUGAUUCAUUGAUGUAUAGUGUUGUAUGUGGCCAAUUACCUAAGACUGUAGUCACACUUCUCCUGAUUUGCCUUGAUCUGGGAUCUGACUUUUGUACUGGUUGUAGUCAAUCUGAAUUAGUGAGGUACCUUUUGCAACUGUCAUUGUUCAGUUCUCUACAUUAUCAUGCAUUUUCUUUGCUUUAAAGAUGUCAUGAUGUUCACCAUGGCAGAGAAAAUAUAUUUUGAAGUUGUUCCUUCUAUUGAAACAAGUAUGAUUUGGUGUGCCUAUGCACGCAUGAAAGCAAAAGGUCGAGAGGUUUAAAGAUGUCAUGUUUUUACCAUUGCAGAUAUCCUGCUUCUGGUACUUGCCUUCUACCUCACAAUGUUAACACAAAAGUUACUAUAUCUGUCAGACAUGCCCUCUCUCGUUUAAUGAUGUCCUGAAAUUUCCACAUAAAACUUGGUAAUCAUGCCAAGUAAUCAUGCUAAUUUUGAGAGAAGUUCAAGUGGCAUGCCCCCAUUUGCCAUGGUUGCGAUGUAGUAAUAAGCUGCAGGACUAAAUUUUAUUAAUGGACUGAUAUUCUAAAGUUAAAUAUGUAAGAGCAUAUUAUAUUUCUCAUAAUCAACUACAGUUAAGGUUCCAUGCUCUUCCUGCGUUGAACGAGUUAGCUGUUGAGCAGGCUACAGUCUCUUUGUUUGACUAGCUAGGCUGUGUUGUGUACAUGUAAAAGAGGAUCCUUCUCUGGCUACUUGCAUGUAUAUAUGUCUUGAAGCUCUUCGGCAUUUUUUAAGAUAAACUCUUUCCGUUGUUUGACUAGCACAAGGCUCCAAGAGCCCGCAUUUCUGCAUGUAUAUUUUGUUGUACAGCCUAUGCUGAUUUGCCGACUAUAAUUUUCAGAAGGUAAUACGCAGCAACCGAAUUCUCUCGGUAGACUUUGAUUUAGUCAUGUGCUGAAGCAAAUUCUGCCUACCUUAUUCCUCAAGAGUUGAAGAGGAUGGGAAGACACAUGUGCUAAAGCAAAAAAGAUCAGUAUAUUCAGAAUCUACCCAAUGGCUUACCUUAACUUACAUGUAAUGCGAGCCUGCUCACAUAGCAAGAAACGUAUCCUUUUAUUCCGCUAGAAUUGAGUAUCCACUGUUAAAAUUCAUAACUGGAACCACAAAUUACGUGGUCUCUGUGCAAUGUCCCCCGUAACCGGUUGCUCUAUAUCUUUCCUCUCUCAAGCGCACUUUUAUUUCUGUAUUCCAUGCUAUGGUAGUAUUUUUCUGCCGCAACAAUUUGUUUUUGUUAUCUUGUCGGCGAUAGUGGCAGGCCGUUUUAACAGUGCGAUAAUGUCAUGAGCAUUCUAAUUAUAUAGCAGAUGAACUGGCAAAAACAUACUUACACUUUUGAACCUUCAUAAAUUCAGAAAUAAAGUCGAGGUUGUUGCUUAACUGAUCAAGUAAUUGCACUUUUAUAUAGUAUAUAAACUUGUUUCAAAACUUUAGUUUAGUACAUCAACUUGCUGAUAUUUCGGGGAACAGAGUUGACACCGUCAACUAGAUAUGUGGAACUGCACAUGUUCUUGUUGAGUUGCUUCUUGGACAGGUGUGUCUCUUUUUAUGAUAUUUUGUAAGAUUUCAUUUUGGCCCCCACACUAGCAGAUUACUUGGAGUUUACGCUAAUCAUUUGCUUACCAUCCAAUAUUCUCAUCAUUUUCUUCUUAAUAUAAACCAAACUUUGUGUGUACUGGAUAUGGUUAUUACUCUAUCUGUUGAAGGUGCAAUAAUAUUGUUCUCUUUCUCCUCGAGGACGUCCCCAACCGUGUGAAGGUGUUCAAGGAAGGAGGUUCAGAAUCAUCAUCGUAGAAUGGAGACGCUGCACAUGUUGUCAUCAUGGUAUGGAGUGGCUACAACUCUAAGUGGAGGUGGUGUAUAUGUCGGAGUGAUUUAUUCUGUAAGCAUUUUCUUUACGUGUGGUGUUUGAUUUUUUUACCAAAUCACACUUGGUGUAUAAGUUUCGGCCCAUAUUGAUUUGUAGUGACAAA
Aegilops tauschii subsp. strangulata is the source of this 3033-nucleotide long non-coding RNA. RefSeq lists it as uncharacterized. NCBI's taxonomy places the organism in Eukaryota, Viridiplantae, Streptophyta, Magnoliopsida, Poales, Poaceae. The record is from RefSeq and is a predicted model, not a curated record.